UAUUUUUUAUUUUAAUUUAUUUUAUUCUAUUUUAUUUUUUUUUUUUUUGUUUUUAUUUUUUUUUUUUUUGUUCUUCAUUUUUUUUGAUAGGAUCAACUAUAAACACAGAGGAACACAAAAAUGUCGAUGUUUGAAGGAAUGCUUAUCAGAUUAUCCGACAAAAACAAGAAAAACAGAAAGUCGAAUAUUGAAAGAAGUAAUUUUGUUAAUGAACAAAAACUAAUAAAUUGUAUAAAUGAUUAUGCUAUAAGUUCUAAUAAACUAGAAACAGAAAAAAAAGAAAAAAAAAAAAAAGUCGAAAUCGAAAUCGAAAAUAAUGAUGUAAUAAAAACAUUAACAACAAAUAAUACUUAUUAUAACAAUUGUUACACUAAUACUAUCAAAUAUGAUGAAUUAAAUCUAAUCAAAUUAACCCCUAAAUCUAAAUUAAUUCACAGUGGUUAUAAUAAUAGCUAUACGAAUGAUGAAUAUGAAACGUAUACUACUACUACUACUACUUCUGCAACCACUACUACUACUAGCAACCAUUUAACAGAUAAAACUAUGCAAAACAGUUCAACGAUAUUUAGGACAGAACAUGAAAAUAAAUAUCCUUCUCUUACUUUGGAAAAUUUAAAAGACAUGUAUGAAAACGACUUAAAAAACGAAAAUACUACUGCUGCUAAUAUUCCUACUAUUACUACUACCACUACUUAUAAUAACAGUGACAACAUAAUAAACACAAUUAAUGAAAAAGACAACUUAGCACUAAUAUAUCACAACGAGGAAAUCCAAUUAUAUAAUGUGCUAAGUUUUUUUCAAAAUUUUUUUAUCAGUACAAAUAAUGUAAAUACAAGAAAAUUAAAAUUAGCUUUUGAUUUGUUACUAAAACCUAAUAAUAGUAAUAAUAAUAUGUUAAUUAUUACAUAUUUCUUUUUAUAUAAUUUUUAUAUGAUUUUAAAAUUUUUUAAUUUAAAAAGGGAUUAUAAUUAUGAUAGACUAUUAUAUAAGUCAUUAUUAAAUAUUCAUAAUAUGCGAAAAAAAAAGAAGAAAUGUAAACAAAAAGAAAAAAUGCUUAUUAUGAACGAUAAACUAGAUAUUGCUUAUACUGUACAAAAGAACAUUUUCCAUUAUAAUUCUGUGAUAACAGAAAAUGAAAAUUAUAUGAUAAAAUUGUUCAAAGAAAAAAAAAAUAUUUAUUAUAAUAAUCAUUUUUUACGUAAAUUUAUAAAACAGCUACUUCAACUUAUUUUUCGUACACUA
RNAcentral lists this long non-coding RNA (1242 nucleotides) under Piliocolobus tephrosceles (Ugandan red Colobus). Its description in RNAcentral is "lncRNA (ENSPTEG00000015011.1)". Lineage: Eukaryota; Metazoa; Chordata; Mammalia; Primates; Cercopithecidae. The record is from RNAcentral.